UACGUAGGGACCGAGCGUUGUCCGGAAUUACUGGGUGUAAAGGGUUCGUAGGCGGUGUGGCAAGUCGGGAGUGAAAUUUCUGGGCUCAACUCAGAGACUGCUUCCGAAACUGCUGUGCUUGAGUGUGGGAGAGGCGCGUGGAAUUGCAGGUGUAGCGGUGAAAUGCGUAGAUAUCUGCAGGAACACCCGUGGCGAAAGCGGCGCGCUGGACCACUACUGACGCUGAGGAACGAAAGCUAGGGGAGCAAACAGG
RNAcentral lists this ribosomal RNA (253 nucleotides) under uncultured bacterium. RNAcentral describes it as "partial 16S ribosomal RNA". It matches the Rfam family "Bacterial small subunit ribosomal RNA", at positions 524 to 776 of the family's 1533-position model. The record is from RNAcentral.